UACAGAGGUCUCAAGCGUUGUUCGGAUUCAUUGGGCGUAAAGGGUGCGUAGGCGGCGCGGUAAGUCGGGUGUGAAAUCUCGGAGCUUAACUACGAAACUGCAUUCGAUACUGCCGUGCUUGAGGACUGGAGAGGAGACUGGAAUUUACGGUGUAGCGGUGAAAUGCGUAGAUAUCGUAAGGAAGACCAGUGGCGAAGGCGGGUCUCUGGACAGUUCCUGACGCUGAGGCACGAAGGUCAGGGGAGCAAACGGG
RNAcentral lists this ribosomal RNA (253 nucleotides) under uncultured bacterium. Its description in RNAcentral is "partial 16S ribosomal RNA". It matches the Rfam family "Bacterial small subunit ribosomal RNA", at positions 524 to 776 of the family's 1533-position model. The record is from RNAcentral.